AUUGAACGCUGGCGGCAUGCCUUACACAUGCAAGUCGAACGGCAGCACGGGAGCAAUCCUGGUGGCGAGUGGCGAACGGGUGAGUAAAGUAUCGGAACGUGCCCAGUCGUGGGGGAUAACGUAGCGAAAGUUACGCUAAUACCGCAUACGAUCUAUGGAUGAAAGCGGGGGAUCGCAAGACCUCGCGCGAUUGGAGCGGCCGAUAUCAGAUUAGGUAGUUGGUGGGGUAAAAGCUCACCAAGCCGACGAUCUGUAGCUGGUCUGAGAGGACGAGCGGCCACACUAGGACUGAGACACGGCCCAGACUCCUACGGGAGGCAGCAGUGGGGAAUUUUUGACAAUGGGCGCAAGCCUGAUCCAGCCAUGACGCGUGAAGGAUGAAGGCCUUCGGGUUGUAAACUGCUUUUGUACGGAACGAAAAGGUUGACUUAAUACGUUGGACUCAUGACGGUACCGUAAGAAUAAGCACCGGCUAACUACGUGCCAGCCGCCGCCGUAA
RNAcentral lists this ribosomal RNA (499 nucleotides) under uncultured bacterium. RNAcentral describes it as "partial 16S ribosomal RNA". It matches the Rfam family "Bacterial small subunit ribosomal RNA", at positions 30 to 523 of the family's 1533-position model. The record is from RNAcentral.